CUCAGACUCACACCAAUCCUCCUGCCUCAGCCUCCUGAGUACUGGGAUUACAGGUUGAAUCAUCCUUGGAUCCCUGGGAUGAAUCCUACUUGCUCAAGGAUCACAUCAGAAUACCACAUUACCCAUAAUUAUAUUAUCUUCAUGGAUUCUUCUGGUCUGUGACAGAUUGACUUUCCUUGUUUUUAAUGAUCUUGAGAGUUCUGAGGAGUAAUGAUCAGAUAUUGGUAUUGUCUGCUAAGAUUUACCCUUAUACUCUUGUCUGGAGAAAUGCCCUCACGGAUUGUCCUCAGCAUGGAGCUGGAGCCGUCCCUCUCCCAGGUGCCAGGAAGAUUUCCCUUUUCCUCUGGGGGAGCGGAUAGCUGAUGACUGACUGAUACGCUUUUCUCGGUGCCUCAAGCCUUGGUUGGAGCCAGGGAGCAGACAUGGUGUAUGAUACACCACCCGAAAAUGUAAUCCAGACAGGCUCAACCAGAGACCGACCUCGGAACAAUGCCUGCCACAUCCAGCCAAAACAAAUUAUGGCAAUCAGAUGAUCAAGAAGUGAACAAUACUGUGUGGGGUCCAAGCCGGAGGGGGUGCUCAGCAAGCACGAGAUGAUCAAAUCGUCUGAGAGCUGAUGGAAUGCAAGCCUCAUCUGGAAUGGCUGAAUCUGUGGUUUAUACAAGAAAGCACAUGAAGACAACACAGAAAGGCCAGAAAAAGCUCAUGGCCUUUGGGCUGUCUUGAUGCUCGGACAGGAGUAUGCCUAUUAAUUGCAUGGAGAGAUGCCGGUGGCAGGAAGAAGACACAGUGUGGACAAAGUCCCAGACCACACAUUAGUGUGAAGUGUGUACAUGUUAUCCACUGGGUAUCCUUUGUAUAAUCAAGAUUGACAAAUUCCAAUCCUCAGUAAACAAUGAGCUUUGCUUGAAGUUUUAAAACAAACAUCCCAAUGACUUCCAGUGAAGAUGUCAUCAUUCCUGCUUAAAGAACGCAUCACAUUUAUA
RNAcentral lists this long non-coding RNA (986 nucleotides) under Heterocephalus glaber (naked mole-rat). Its description in RNAcentral is "lncRNA (ENSHGLG00100049456.1)". The record is from RNAcentral. Lineage: Eukaryota; Metazoa; Chordata; Mammalia; Rodentia; Bathyergidae.